AGGACGAACGCUGGCGGCGUGCUUAACACAUGCAAGUCGAACGGUGAGGCUGGAGCUUGCUCCAGCUGAUCAGUGGCGAACGGGUGAGUAACACGUGAGCAACCUGCCCUUGACUCUGGGAUAACCCCGGGAAACCGGAGCUAAUACCGGAUACGAACCGCAUAGGCAUCUGCGCGGUUGGAAAGAUUUAUCGGUCAAGGAUGGGCUCGCGGCCUAUCAGCUUGUGGUGGGGUAACGGCCCACCAAGGCGACGACGGGUAGCCGGCCUGAGAGGGCGACGGCCACACUGGGACUGAGACACGGCCCAGACUCCUACGGGAGGCAGCAGUGGGGAAUAUUGCACAAUGGGCGAAAGCCUGAUGCAGCGACGCCGCGUGAGGGAUGAAGGCCUUCGGUUGUAAACCUCUUUCAGCAGGAAGAAGCGAAAGUGACGGUACCUGCAGAAGAAGCACCGGCUAACACGUGCCAGCAGCCGC
RNAcentral lists this ribosomal RNA (476 nucleotides) under uncultured soil bacterium. RNAcentral describes it as "bacterial SSU rRNA". It matches the Rfam family "Bacterial small subunit ribosomal RNA", at positions 26 to 518 of the family's 1533-position model. The record is from RNAcentral.